AAACUAAACAAGGAUUCCCCUAGUAACGGCGAGUGAACCGGGAAGAGCUCAAAUUUGAAAUCUGGCGUCCUCAGGGCGUCCGAGUUGUAAUCUAUAGAGGCGUUUUCCGUGCCGGACCGUGUCCAAGUUCCUUGGAACAGGAUAUCAAAGAGGGUGACAAUCCCGUACUUGACACGACGACCGGUGCUCUGUGAUACGUCUUCUACGAGUCGAGUUGUUUGGGAAUGCAGCUCAAAAUGGGUGGUGAGUUCCAUCUAAAGCUAAAUAUUGGCGAGAGACCGAUAGCGAACAAGUACCGUGAGGGAAAGAUGAAAAGCACUUUGGAAAGAGAGUUAAACAGUACGUGAAAUUGUUGAAAGGGAAACGAUUGAAGUCAGUCGUGACCGAGAGGCUCAGCCGGUUCUGCCGGUGUAUUCCCCUCGGUCGGGUCAACAUCAGUUUUGUCCGGUGGAUAAGGGCGGUAGGAAGGUGGCACCCUCGGGUGUGUUAUAGCCUGCCGUCGCAUACAUCGGGUGAGACUGAGGAACGCAGCUCGCCUUUAUGGCCGGGGUUCGCCCACGUCCGAGCUUAGGAUGUUGACAUAAUGGCUUUAAACGAC
RNAcentral lists this ribosomal RNA (598 nucleotides) under Papiliotrema laurentii. RNAcentral's name for it is "eukaryotic LSU rRNA". It matches the Rfam family "Eukaryotic large subunit ribosomal RNA", at positions 62 to 648 of the family's 3401-position model. The record is from RNAcentral. Lineage: Eukaryota; Fungi; Basidiomycota; Tremellomycetes; Tremellales; Rhynchogastremaceae.